UACAGAGGGGGCAAGCGUUAUUCGGAAUUAUUGGGCGUAAAGGGCGCGUAGGCGGCUUGGCAAGUGGAAGGUGAAAUCCCUCGGCUUAACCGAGGAACUGCCCUCCAAACUGCUUGGCUUGAGACCGGGAGAGGUGAGUGGAAUUCCCAGUGUAGCGGUGAAAUGCGUAGAUAUUGGAGGAACACCAGUGGCGAAGGCGGCUCACUGGACCGGUACUGACGCUGAUGCGCGAAAGCGUGGGGAGCAAACGGG
RNAcentral lists this ribosomal RNA (252 nucleotides) under uncultured bacterium. Its description in RNAcentral is "partial 16S ribosomal RNA". It matches the Rfam family "Bacterial small subunit ribosomal RNA", at positions 524 to 776 of the family's 1533-position model. The record is from RNAcentral.